UAAAGGUACUCAUCUAUAUAGCUAUUUUUCCUUUUAAACUGUGGAGUUGUCCUCUGGACUGAUUUUUGGGGUAUGUAUACAUUGCUAUGCAAAAAAACAUGGAUAGUAUCCUAUGAUAUUAACCGUUUUAAUGUGAUAGUAUCCUAUGAUAUUAACCGUUUUAAUGGCCAUUGUCAUACUGAGAGUGAAACGAAGUAAAGCUACUUACAAUCCUCUUGAAGUUAGAAAAGAUUAAAUCUAGAAACAAGACAGGAGCAAAUAUCCUAAAAUCUCUUCGGUUUCAUCAAUCAUAGAUACGUUGAUUCACAUGUUUUGUUUGCCACUGCAGAAAACAAGUCUUUGGAGAGUCAAGUGGAGUAGCAGACAUACUAACAAUGAGCCCUGUCUUUGCUGACAACUCAGAAAGUGAAGUGGAUGCAGACACCGAGGAAGCGAGACUUAGUAAUUGAAAUGUAAACAUUGCCGAUACUGUAAAGGUAAGGAGCACAAAGUUGGGAGAAAAUGCUCCAGUAGUUGCUGUAGAAGGUUUGAAAGAUCACGAGGAUCAUCCUGCAGAGCAAACUGCGGAAUUCAAGAAAGCACAAAUUAAUUUUUAAACAAGUCUCCGUUGAAAACCAAAGAAGACGGGGGAGCUGUCCUCAGAGUCACCGACGAUGAGCAUCCUGAGGACAUGGCUAUGUCAGAAUACUCCCAUGCUAUGGAACAUGAAGGGACAGACACACCAGACGACCAUGGCAUUGACUGCCAAAACUGUAAAUGAGCUUACAAUCAAGAACAAGAAAGAGUCAAUGGAGCGGGAAGUCUCUGCCAUGAUUGCAGAGUAUAUCGAUCUUGAGAA
Long non-coding RNA from Eucalyptus grandis, 838 nucleotides. RefSeq lists it as uncharacterized. Lineage: Eukaryota; Viridiplantae; Streptophyta; Magnoliopsida; Myrtales; Myrtaceae. The transcript is spliced from 2 exons. The record is from RefSeq and is a predicted model, not a curated record.